CCUGUCCCUAGUGUUAGUCCUGUCUCUCUGUUGAAACGCCCUGUCCCUAGUGUUAGUCCUGUCUCUCUGUUGAAACGCCCUGUCCCUAGUGUUAGCCCUGUCUCUCUCUCUCUCUCUCUGUAGUCUGCAGAGGACCUGUUUGACUACGGGUCGUUAGGUCAGGUGGGUUCUGAGGCGGCGAUGCAGGCAGCUGACCUCUUGAUGGGAGACUUCAGGAUGAUUUCCUGUCAGGACAUCAAAUGGAGCCUCAACGCCAUGAAGGGGCACUACGCAAUCACACGCAAGGUUCGCUCGGCGUCUGUCUCUGUGUGUUUCAGGCCUCACUCGGCGUCUCUCUCUCUCUGUGUGUUUCAGGUCUCACUCGGCGUGUCUCUCUGUG
Oncorhynchus tshawytscha (Chinook salmon) is the source of this 379-nucleotide long non-coding RNA. NCBI's taxonomy places the organism in Eukaryota, Metazoa, Chordata, Actinopteri, Salmoniformes, Salmonidae. The record is from Ensembl.